CCAUACCGCCAUACCACCCUGAAAGCGCCCGAUCUCGUCUGAUCUCAGAAGCUAAGCAGGGUCGGGCCUGGUUAGUACUUGGAUGGGAGGAGGGAAAACUGAACUCAAUACAAU
This 114-nucleotide ribosomal RNA is filed under the name Neogale vison (American mink). Lineage: Eukaryota; Metazoa; Chordata; Mammalia; Carnivora; Mustelidae. The record is from RNAcentral.